CACGUAGGCACCAAGCGUUGUCCGGAUUUAUUGGGCGUAAAGAGCUCGUAGGCGGUUCGGUAAGUCGGGUGUGAAAACUCUGGGCUCAACCCAGAGCCGCCACCCGAUACUGCUGUGACUUGAGUUCGGUAGGGGAGCGGGGAAUUCCUGGUGUAGCGGUGAAAUGCGCAGAUAUCAGGAGGAACACCAGCGGCGAAGGCGGCGCUCUGGGCUGGAACUGACGCUGAGGAGCGAAAGCGUGGGGAGCGAACAGG
This 254-nucleotide ribosomal RNA is filed under the name uncultured bacterium. Its description in RNAcentral is "partial 16S ribosomal RNA". It matches the Rfam family "Bacterial small subunit ribosomal RNA", at positions 524 to 776 of the family's 1533-position model. The record is from RNAcentral.